RNAcentral lists this ribosomal RNA (253 nucleotides) under uncultured bacterium. Its description in RNAcentral is "partial 16S ribosomal RNA". It matches the Rfam family "Bacterial small subunit ribosomal RNA", at positions 524 to 776 of the family's 1533-position model. The record is from RNAcentral.
UACGGGGGGGGCAAGCGUUGUUCGGAAUUACUGGGCGUAAAGGGCUCGUAGGCGGCCAACUAAGUCGGAUGUGAAAUCCCCAGGCUCAACCUGGGAACUGCAUCCGAUACUGGAUGGCUUGAAUCCGGGAGAGGGAUGCAGAAUUCCAGGUGUAGCGGUGAAAUGCGUAGAUAUCUGGAGGAAUACCGGUGGCGAAGGCGGCAUCCUGGACCGAGAUUGACACUGAUGAGCGAAAGCCAGGGGAGCAAACGGG